CAGGGAUUGCCUCAGUAACGGCGAGUGAAGCGGCAACAGCUCAAAUUUGAAAUCUGACCCCGUUCGGGGCCCGAGUUGUAAUUUGCAGAGGGUGCUUCGGGCGCGGCGCCGGUCUAAGUGCCUUGGAACAGGACGUCACAGAGGGUGAGAAUCCCGUAUGUGACCGGCGACCAAGCCCAUGUGAAGCCCUUUCGACGAGUCGAGUUGUUUGGGAAUGCAGCUCAAAACGGGUGGUAAAUUUCAUCUAAAGCUAAAUACCGGCCAGAGACCGAUAGCGGACAAGUAGAGUGAUCGAAAGAUGAAAAGCACUUUGGAAAGAGAGUCAAACAGUACGUGAAAUUGUUGAAAGGGAAGCGCUUGCGAUCAGACCGGUCCGGGGGCGAUCAGCCGCGGCUCGUCCGCGGUGCACUCGCCCUCGAUCCGGCCAGCAUCGGUUUGGGCGGCGGGAGAAAAGUCCCGGGAACGUAGCUUCCCUCGGGGAGUCUUAUAGCCCGGGUCGUCAUGCCGCCCGCCCGGACCGAGGACCGCGCUUCGGCUAGGAUGCUGGCGUAAUGGUCGCAAGCGACCCGUCUUGAAACACGGACCAAGGAGUCUAACAUCUAUGCGAGUGUUUGGGUGUCAAACCCGGGCGCGGAAUGAAAGUGAACGGAGGUGGGAACCCGUCGCACGGCGCACCAUCGACCGAUCCAGAUGUCUUCGGAUGGAUUUGAGUACGAGCAUAGCUGUUGGGACCCGAAAGAUGGUGAACUAUGCCCGGAUAGGGUGAAGCCAGAGGAAACUCUGGUGGAGGCUCGCAGCGGUUCUGACGUGCAAAUCGAUCGUCAAAUCUAGGCAUAGGGGCGAAAGACCAAUCGAACCAUCUAG
RNAcentral lists this ribosomal RNA (864 nucleotides) under Pseudocyphellaria clathrata. RNAcentral describes it as "LSU rRNA". It matches the Rfam family "Eukaryotic large subunit ribosomal RNA", at positions 69 to 947 of the family's 3401-position model. The record is from RNAcentral. Lineage: Eukaryota; Fungi; Ascomycota; Lecanoromycetes; Peltigerales; Lobariaceae.